Molecule: ribosomal RNA, 454 nt
Filed under: uncultured Prevotella sp.
Lineage: Bacteria; Pseudomonadati; Bacteroidota; Bacteroidia; Bacteroidales; Prevotellaceae
Description: partial 16S ribosomal RNA
Rfam family: Bacterial small subunit ribosomal RNA
Source: RNAcentral
ACGGGAGGCAGCAGUGAGGAAUAUUGGUCAAUGGGCGAGAGCCUGAACCAGCCAAGUAGCGUGUAGGAAGACUGCCCUAUGGGUUGUAAACUGCUUUUGUGCGGGAAUAAAAGAUGCCACGUGUGGCAUGUUGCAUGUACCGCUACGAAUAAGGACCGGCUAAUUCCGUGCCAGCAGCCGCGGUAAUACGGAAGGUCAGAGCGUUAUCCGGAUUUAUUGGGUUUAAAGGGUGCGUAGGCGGCAUGUCAAGUCAGCCGUUAAAGUGCGGGGCUCAACCCCGUGUUGCGGUUGAAACUGGCGCGCUUGAGUGCGGGAGAGGAAGAUGGAAUUCGUGGUGUAGCGGUGAAAUGCAUAGAUAUCACGAAGAACUCCGAUUGCGAAGGCAGUCUUCUGGUCCGUAACUGACGCUGAUGCACGAAGGUGCGGGUAUCAAACAGGAUUAGAUACCCUGGUA